This 945-nucleotide ribosomal RNA is filed under the name uncultured bacterium. Its description in RNAcentral is "bacterial SSU rRNA". It matches the Rfam family "Bacterial small subunit ribosomal RNA", at positions 49 to 990 of the family's 1533-position model. The record is from RNAcentral.
UUACACAUGCAAGUCGAACGGCAGCACGGGGGCAACCCUGGUGGCGAGUGGCGAACGGGUGAGUAAUAUAUCGGAACGUACCCAGUAGUGGGGGAUAGCUCGGCGAAAGCCGGAUUAAUACCGCAUACGCACUGAGGUGGAAAGCGGGGGAUCGCAAGACCUCGCGCUAGUGGAGCGGCCGAUAUCUGAUUAGCUAGUUGGUGGGGUAAAAGCCUACCAAGGCGACGAUCAGUAGCUGGUCUGAGAGGACGACCAGCCACACUGGAACUGAGACACGGUCCAGACUCCUACGGGAGGCAGCAGUGGGGAAUUUUGGACAAUGGGGGCAACCCUGAUCCAGCAAUGCCGCGUGAGUGAAGAAGGCCUUCGGGUUGUAAAGCUCUUUUGUCUGGGAAGAAAUCCCCUGGGAUAAUACCUCGGGGGGAUGACGGUACCGGAAGAAUAAGCACCGGCUAACUACGUGCCAGCAGCCGCGGUAAUACGUAGGGUGCAAGCGUUAAUCGGAAUUACUGGGCGUAAAGCGUGCGCAGGCGGUUGUGCAAGACAGAUGUGAAAUCCCCGGGCUUAACCUGGGAACUGCAUUUGUGACUGCACGGCUAGAGUGUGUCAGAGGGGGGUAGAAUUCCACGUGUAGCAGUGAAAUGCGUAGAGAUGUGGAGGAAUACCGAUGGCGAAGGCAGCCCCCUGGGAUAACACUGACGCUCAUGCACGAAAGCGUGGGGAGCAAACAGGAUUAGAUACCCUGGUAGUCCACGCCCUAAACGAUGUCUACUAGUUGUCGGGUCUUAAUUGACUUGGUAACGCAGCUAACGCGUGAAGUAGACCGCCUGGGGAGUACGGUCGCAAGAUUAAAACUCAAAGGAAUUGACGGGGACCCGCACAAGCGGUGGAUGAUGUGGAUUAAUUCGAUGCAACGCGAAAAACCUUACCUACCCUUGACAUGGU